This 525-nucleotide ribosomal RNA is filed under the name uncultured bacterium. RNAcentral's name for it is "bacterial SSU rRNA". It matches the Rfam family "Bacterial small subunit ribosomal RNA", at positions 119 to 656 of the family's 1533-position model. The record is from RNAcentral.
GGGUAAUGUACCCAAUCGCUGGGGAUAACUAGACGAAAGUUUAGCUAAUACCGAAUGGUCCUGUCUUUUCUCCGGAUUAGAUAGGUAAAAGCCGUAAGGCGCGAUUGGAGCAGCCCUCGUCCCAUUAGCUAGUUGGUAGGGUAACGGCCUACCAAGGCUACGAUGGGUAGCUGGUCUAAGAGGAUGAUCAGCCACACUGGUACUGGAACACGGACCAGACUCCUACGGGAGGCAGCAGUUAGGAAUUUUGCGCAAUGGGCGAAAGCCUGACGCAGCAACGCCGCGUGAGGGAUGAAGGCCUUCGGGUUGUAAACCUCUUUUAGCAGGGAAGAACACAAUGACGGUACCUGCAGAAAAAGCACCGGCUAACUCUGUGCCAGCAGCCGCGGUAAUACAGAGGGUGCAAGCGUUAUUCGGAAUUACUGGGCGUAAAGAGCGCGUAGGCUGUUUGAUAAGUUUGAUGUGAAAGCCCUGGACUCAAUUCAGGAAGUGCAUCGAAUACUGUCAGACUAGAGUAUAGGAGAG